GCAGGGUAGCCUAGUGGUUAGAGUGUAGAGGAGGCAGGUAGCCUAGUGGUUAGAGUAUAGAGGAGGCAGGUAGCCUAGUGGUUAGAGUGUAGAGGUGGCAGGUAGCCUAGUGGUUAGAGUGUAGAGGAGGCAGGUAGCCUAGUGGUUAGAGUGUAGAGGAGGCAGGUAGCCUAGUGGUUAGAGUGUAGAGGAGGCAGGUAGCCUAGUGGUUAGAGUGUAGAGGAGGUAGGUAGCCUAGUGGUUAGAGUGUAGAGGAGGCAGGUAGCCUAGUGGUUAGAGUGUAGAGGAGGCAGGUAGCCUAGUGGUUAGAGUGUAGAGGAGGCAGGUAGCCUAGUGGUUAGAGUGUAGAGGAGGCAGGUAGCCUAGUGGUUAGAGUGUAGAGGAGGCAGGUCGCCUAGUGGUUAGAGUGUAGAGGAGGCAGGUAGCCUAGUGGUUAGAGUGUAGAGGAGGCAGGUAGCCUAGUGGUUAGAGUGUAGAGGAGGCAGGUAGCCUAGUGGUUAGAGUGUAGAGGAGGCAGGUAGCCUAGUGGUUAGAGUGUAGAGGAGGCAGGUAGCCUAGUGGUUAGAGUGUAGAGGAGGCAGGGUAGCC
Oncorhynchus keta (chum salmon) is the source of this 588-nucleotide long non-coding RNA. RefSeq lists it as uncharacterized. NCBI's taxonomy places the organism in Eukaryota, Metazoa, Chordata, Actinopteri, Salmoniformes, Salmonidae. The transcript has 3 exons. The record is from RefSeq and is a predicted model, not a curated record.